RNAcentral lists this ribosomal RNA (292 nucleotides) under uncultured Verrucomicrobiota bacterium. RNAcentral describes it as "uncultured Verrucomicrobia bacterium partial 16S ribosomal RNA". The record is from RNAcentral. Lineage: Bacteria; Pseudomonadati; Verrucomicrobiota.
GGACUACACGGGUAUCUAAUCCUGUUUGCUCCCCUAGCUUUCGUGCCUCAGUGUCAGGAGUUGUCCAGAGACUCGCCUUCGCCACUGGUGUUCCUCUCGAUAUCUACGCAUUUCACUGCUACACCGAGAAUUCCAGUCUCCCCUCCAACCCUCUAGCAGGAUAGUAUUCAAUGCAUUUUCCGGGUUGAGCCCGGAGAUUUCACAUCAAACUUACCCCGCCACCUGCGCACCCUUUACGCCCAGUGAAUCCGAACAACGCUUGGGACCUCUGUAUUACCGCGGCUGCUGGCAC